RNAcentral lists this ribosomal RNA (562 nucleotides) under uncultured bacterium. RNAcentral describes it as "bacterial SSU rRNA". It matches the Rfam family "Bacterial small subunit ribosomal RNA", at positions 338 to 916 of the family's 1533-position model. The record is from RNAcentral.
CCUACGGGAGGCAGCAGUGAGGAAUAUUGGACAAUCAGCGAAAGCUGGAUCCAGCAACGCCGCGUGGACGAUGAAGGCCUUCGGGUUGUAAAGUCCUUUUCAGAGGGAAGAGGAAGGACGGUACCUCUGGAAUAAGUCUCGGCUAACUACGUGCCAGCAGCCGCGGUAACACGUAGGAGGCAAGCGUUAUCCGGAUUUAUUGGGCGUAAAGCGCACGCAGGCGGCUAGGUAAGUCGGGUGUGAAAGCCCCGGACUUAAUCCGGGGAGGUCAUUCGAUACUGCUUGGCUUGAGAGCGGGAGAGGGAAGUGGAAUUCUCGGUGUAGUGGUGAUAUGCGUAGAUAUCGAGAGGAACACCAGUGGCGAAGGCGGCUUCCUGGCCCGUUUCUGACGCUAAGGUGCGAAAGCGUGGGGAGCAAACGGACUUAGAUACUCCGGUAGUCCACGCCGUAAACGAUGGGUACUAGGUGUGGGGGAUGUAAAAUUCUCCGUGCCACAGCUAACGCAAUAAGUACCCCGCCUGGGGACUACGGCCGCAAGGUUAAAACUCAAAUGAAUUGACGG